This 2486-nucleotide long non-coding RNA is filed under the name Malus domestica (apple). RNAcentral describes it as "long non-coding RNA (MDOM_LNC005265)". Lineage: Eukaryota; Viridiplantae; Streptophyta; Magnoliopsida; Rosales; Rosaceae. The record is from RNAcentral.
UUACGGACCGCAUCCAAAAUAUCCCGAAUCAAAACCUAGAACCUCCGGGGCAUGCCCAAUAGUUAACUAAGUUAAGAAGUACUGCAAAUAAUAUCGAUCAUUUGAAUUGAAAUUAACUAGAAGACAACUUGUAGAACUUUCACAUGUGAAUGGCCCUUUUGGUUGUAGGCAAGAUUACAACUAGCUGGACACCAUAAUAAUCAUAAUUUUGUUUUCAAAACUAAAUUGGAAUUGCAUUUCAUACUUAAAAGUUUUUUUUUUUAUAAUUUCAUUCGUUUAUUAUCAUUUUUUUUCAUGUGUGGCAAAUCAUAACAAUGUCAAAAUGAAUAAUUUGACUAUUUUUAUGAACUAUAUAUAUAUCCCUGUAAUUUCAUAUUGUCAGACAAGUGUUUGAAACAAAAUCAAAGAUGGAAUGGUUAAUGUUUGGGGGAAGACCGGUUUUAUUGAUUAGAUUAGCAAGUAAGCAAAAAUAGUAUUUCAUUAACUCAAUCCUGACCGUUCAUUUCCCAUACUGAGUAGUUUGGACUAUUGAAAAAAAAUUGGAGUGUCUAAUUAAAAGGAAGAGAAUUAAUGUUUUUUUUUUCUUCUGAGGAUGGCCCUUCCAUGGGGCAAGUGAAGGGACAUGUUUGAAGUAGUAUCUAUCUGUCAGCAUGGCGCUAAGAUCAAGCAAUGUGUAACUUAUAGUAUUCCUUGCUUUUUUUUGAAAUUGGAGUUAUUUGGAUGGAGAAAGAUCCAAUUUGAUGAGAAUGACAUUGCACGUUUAAAUUCACUAGCAUCUUCAUCAAUUAGUCUCAGUUUCAUGUUCCAACUUCCAACUUUAACAUUGAUGAAUGCGAAACUUCAUUCACAUGUCAUGUCCCAAUACAUGACGCUUUAGAAAAUAUAGACCCCAUCUGUUGUCACUUGUCAAUUGUGUUUUUCUUUUCUUGACAUACAACCAAUUAAGUUUAGGUUCGACGCUCCAACUAAUUUGAAAUUUUCUUCAUCAUAUCUCCACCAAAAUAUAGAGUGAUUUUGGGUGUUACGAAAGUGGUUCUCAUGUUAAACAAACAAAAAGCUAUCAUAACUUAAUAGGAAAACAACUUAGUUAGUUUCUACCGCGAUAAUCAAAGUGCUUGUGACAUGAUUUUGUAUUUGAUUAUAUGCAUUUGAUUAAAAGAGUGAUCCCAAUAAGUGAGAAUGAAUCCUAUCCUGUGACCCAUGCACUUUAAUUUACAUAUAGAAUUUAUGAUUAGAUUUCGUUUUUUUUUUUAUAUAUUUUAUUUUACAUCAUACAUAAGUAAAUGUUUAUAACCACUUAAGCUAUAUGUCCCUUGCAAUGAUCAGUAUUAUAUAUAUCUAUGAAAUUAAAAGUUCAUUUUAGAUUAGUUUGAACAUUUAGUGUAGCAUUAUAUCUAAUUAAUUAUCUCGACAACUUAACAAACGUUUUUGUUUGUUCUCAACAAGUCACCAAUAUGACCAAGUUCUCCUUCUUCCAUUUCUUUUCAACAAUUUUGGGGGUGUAUUCAAAUAAGAACUUAAAGAAUCUUAGAAGAGUUUACAAAUUCAUAUGUGUCUAAUCAAAAUUUUAAUUGAAUUUAUGAUGGUAUUCAAUUAAGAUUUUAAAAGAAAUCCGAGUGUAUUCAUUCUAGAUUUUAAAAUAUUUAUAAAACUCCAUGCGUAUUCAAUUAGGAUAUGAUUUUAAAGUAUUUUAAAAGAUGAAGGAUUUAAUGAAUUUGUAGUAAUUUUAUAGUAUUUUUAGGCUGUACGAAAUCAGACCUCUACCCUAAAGAUUUAUAAUAAUUUCACCUAAAUUCACAUAGAGUCUAUGAAACUGUUUGGACCCAAAUUUACAUUAUCGGCCCAUGCAAUCAAGGCCGUUGAGUGAGCAUAGCUCCCAACCGUCGGAUAGAAGAGUGAAGAUAAUUUUAUUAUUGUUAAGAGAUAAUAUUAUAAUUUUUAUUAUAAUAAUUAUCUUUUAACGUGAAUUAUCUUGGUUAUGGGAUGCAAACUAUAUCUGUCAUCUGGAAGUAAACAACACAGUUCGAGUUGGGAUUCUUAUCACUGGCCUAUAGGAUAAGGAAAUGGUGACGUGAUGUGGCAGAAGGUUAGCUUACAUGCAUUUGAUGGUCUCUCUUGGGGCAUGCGAAAGAUCAGGUGUGGUAGAGAAUAAAAUAAUAUUCUUUUAUUUUCUACAUAAUCAAAACAACAAAGUGCAUUGAAUAUUGCCAAGAUUGCAUCAGGAUAAAUACUUGAGAUUUCGAAUUUGAUGGAAGGUCAGGUUCUCAAGAUGACGGCAGGUUUUGGUUGAUGUGAUAAGGUGUGGGAUUAGCAACAGAUAAAGACUUAGAGUUACAGUACAAUUGGGAUUGGUUUCCACGAUUUGAGCAUGCAGAUCUUUAUAAAUAUUAAACUGCAGACCAUUCAAGGCAGCCCCACAAAAUCAAUACAAAAUUGCCCUGCGCAAACUCUCACAACUUGAGAUCUUUUUCUUUUCCUUUUUCGCU